UACGUAGGGUGCGAGCGUUGUCCGGAAUUAUUGGGCGUAAAGCGCGCGCAGGCGGUCCUUUAAGUCUGAUGUGAAAGCCCACGGCUCAACCGUGGAGGGUCAUUGGAAACUGGGGGACUUGAGUACAGAAGAGGAAAGCGGAAUUCCACGUGUAGCGGUGAAAUGCGUAGAGAUGUGGAGGAACACCAGUGGCGAAGGCGGCUUUCUGGUCUGUAACUGACGCUGAGGCGCGAAAGCGUGGGGAGCAAACAGG
This 253-nucleotide ribosomal RNA is filed under the name uncultured bacterium. RNAcentral describes it as "partial 16S ribosomal RNA". It matches the Rfam family "Bacterial small subunit ribosomal RNA", at positions 524 to 776 of the family's 1533-position model. The record is from RNAcentral.